AUGUAAAGGAAUCUAUCUCAGAUCUGCCAAAACAUUUUGCAUGUAAAUUCUAGCUAGCUAGAUUUGCAUGCAUUUGGAUAUUUUCCAGCCAACUCUAUUUGUUCAACUUUUGUUGUGGAUUAUUAACAUGAGAAUCAUUCAAAAGGCUUUCUGGGAUCAAUGUGAUAAAUGUCAAUCAAGCUUCAUCGUUAACAGGGAGGAGAAAAGAUGAAUCUUUAUAAUUCUUUGUGUUCUUUUAAUUGAUGCGACGAUCGUGCAUGCAAAACUGAUGAAAUUUCACCCCAUAUGAAUGAGAAAUUUUUAAAUGUUCCAGGUACACCACGUGUCUGGUGUACCAUCCAAUAAA
This is a long non-coding RNA of Prunus avium (sweet cherry), 346 nucleotides long. RefSeq lists it as uncharacterized. Lineage: Eukaryota; Viridiplantae; Streptophyta; Magnoliopsida; Rosales; Rosaceae. The record is from RefSeq and is a predicted model, not a curated record.